RNAcentral lists this ribosomal RNA (468 nucleotides) under uncultured bacterium. RNAcentral's name for it is "partial 16S ribosomal RNA". It matches the Rfam family "Bacterial small subunit ribosomal RNA", at positions 28 to 507 of the family's 1533-position model. The record is from RNAcentral.
GACGAACGCUGGCGGCGUGCUUAACACAUGCAAGUCGAACGGAAAGGCCCUGCUUUUGUGGGGUGCUCGAGUGGCGAACGGGUGAGUAACACGUGAGUAACCUGCCCUUGACUUUGGGAUAACUUCAGGAAACUGGGGCUAAUACCGGAUAGGAGCUCCUGCUGCAUGGUGGGGGUUGGAAAGUUUCGGCGGUUGGGGAUGGACUCGCGGCUUAUCAGCUUGUUGGUGGGGUAGUGGCUUACCAAGGCUUUGACGGGUAGCCGGCCUGAGAGGGUGACCGGCCACAUUGGGACUGGGAUACGGCCCAGACUCCUACGGGAGGCAGCAGUGGGGAAUAUUGCACAAUGGGCGGAAACCUGAUGCAGCAACGCCGCGUGCGGGAUGACGGCCUUCGGGUUGUAAACCGCUUUCGCCUGUGACGAAGCGUGAGUGACGGUAAUGGGUAAAGAAGCACCGGCUAACUACGUG